AACGAACGCUGGCGGCAUGCCUAACACAUGCAAGUCGAACGCAUGUAGCAAUACAUGAGUGGCGAACGGGUGAGUAACGCGUGGGAACCUGCCUAGUGGUAGGGAAUAACCGCGGGAAACUGCGGCUAAUACCCUAUGAGCCCUCCGGGGAAGAUUUAUCGCCAUUAGAGGGGCCCGCGUCGGAUUAGCUAGUUGGUGGGGUAACGGCCCACCAAGGCGACGAUCCGUAGCUGGUCUGAGAGGAUGAUCAGCCACACUGGGACUGAGAUACGGCCCAGACUCCUACGGGAGGCAGCAGUGGGGAAUAUUGGACAAUGGGGGCGAACCCUGAUCCAGCAAUGCCGCGUGAGUGAAGAAGGCCUUAGGGUUGUAAAGCUCUUUCGGCGGGGAAGAUGAUGACGGUACCCGCAGAAGAAGCCCCGGCUAACUUCGUGCCAGCCCGCCGCCGUAAG
RNAcentral lists this ribosomal RNA (452 nucleotides) under uncultured bacterium. Its description in RNAcentral is "bacterial SSU rRNA". It matches the Rfam family "Bacterial small subunit ribosomal RNA", at positions 29 to 524 of the family's 1533-position model. The record is from RNAcentral.